Molecule: ribosomal RNA, 364 nt
Filed under: Acinetobacter sp. oral taxon C51
Lineage: Bacteria; Pseudomonadati; Pseudomonadota; Gammaproteobacteria; Moraxellales; Moraxellaceae
Description: bacterial SSU rRNA
Rfam family: Bacterial small subunit ribosomal RNA
Source: RNAcentral
AUUGAACGCUGGCGGCAGGCUUAACACAUGCAAGUCGAGCGGAGCGAGGGUGCUUGCACCUUAGCUUAGCGGCGGACGGGUGAGUAAUGCUUAGGAAUCUGCCUAUUAGUGGGGGACAACAUUCCGAAAGGGAUGCUAAUACCGCAUACGCCCUACGGGGGAAAGCAGGGGAUCACUUGUGACCUUGCGCUAAUAGAUGAGCCUAAGUCGGAUUAGCUAGUUGGUGGGGUAAAGGCCUACCAAGGCGACGAUCUGUAGCGGGUCUGAGAGGAUGAUCCGCCACACUGGGACUGAGACACGGCCCAGACUCCUACGGGAGGCAGCAGUGGGGAAUAUUGGACAAUGGGGGGAACCCGUGAUCCAG